RNAcentral lists this ribosomal RNA (483 nucleotides) under uncultured bacterium. RNAcentral's name for it is "partial 16S ribosomal RNA". It matches the Rfam family "Bacterial small subunit ribosomal RNA", at positions 28 to 523 of the family's 1533-position model. The record is from RNAcentral.
GACGAACGCUGGCGGCGUGCUUAACACAUGCAAGUCGAACGAUGAAGCCGGAGCUUGCUCCGGUGGAUUAGUGGCGAACGGGUGAGUAACACGUGAGCAAUCUGCCCUUGACUCCGGGAUAACUGCGGGAAACUGUAGCUAAUACCGGAUACGACACCUUGGGGCAUUCCAGGGUGUGGAAAGAAUUUCGGUCAAGGAUGAGCUCGCGGCCUAUCAGCGAGUUGGUGAGGUAAUGGCUCACCAAGGCGACGACGGGUAGCCGGCCUGAGAGGGUGACCGGCCACACUGGAACUGUGACACGGUCCAGACUCCUACGGGAGGCAGCAGUGGGGAAUAUUGCGCAAUGGGCGAAAGCCUGAUGCAGCAACGCCGCGUGAGGGAUGAAGGCCUUCGGGUUGUAAACCUCUUUUAGCAGGGAAGAAGCGAAAGUGACGGUACCUGCAGAAAAAGCACCGGCUAACUACGUGCCAGCAGCCGCGGUAA